UACAGAGGGUGCAAGCGUUAUUCGGAAUUAUUGGGCGUAAAGGGCGCGUAGGCGGCAUGGCAAGUGGGUGGUGAAAUCCCUCGGCUUAACCGAGGAACUGCCGUCCAAACUGCUUCGCUUGAGACCGGGAGAGGUGAGUGGAAUUCCCAGUGUAGCGGUGAAAUGCGUAGAUAUCAGGAGGAACACCGGUGGCGAAGGCGGGUCUCUGGGCCGAUACUGACACUGAGGAGCGAAAGCGUGGGGAGCGAACAGG
RNAcentral lists this ribosomal RNA (253 nucleotides) under uncultured bacterium. Its description in RNAcentral is "partial 16S ribosomal RNA". It matches the Rfam family "Bacterial small subunit ribosomal RNA", at positions 524 to 776 of the family's 1533-position model. The record is from RNAcentral.